This 77-nucleotide transfer RNA is filed under the name Erysipelothrix sp. RNAcentral's name for it is "tRNA-His". It matches the Rfam family "tRNA". Rfam says of the family: Transfer RNA (tRNA) molecules are approximately 80 nucleotides in length. Their secondary structure includes four short double-helical elements and three loops (D, anti-codon, and T loops). Further hydrogen bonds mediate the characteristic L-shaped molecular structure. tRNAs have two regions of fundamental functional importance: the anti-codon, which is responsible for specific mRNA codon recognition, and the 3' end, to which the tRNAs corresponding amino acid is attached (by aminoacyl-tRNA synthetases). tRNAs cope with the degeneracy of the genetic code in two manners: having more than one tRNA (with a specific anti-codon) for a particular amino acid; and 'wobble' base-pairing, i.e. permitting non-standard base-pairing at the 3rd anti-codon position. RNAcentral also lists the same sequence under 1 other name. Lineage: Bacteria; Bacillati; Bacillota; Erysipelotrichia; Erysipelotrichales; Erysipelotrichaceae. The record is from RNAcentral.
GCGGUCGUGGUGAAGUAGGUUAACACAUCGGGUUGUGGCUCCGACAUGCGCGGGUUCGAGUCCCGUCGAUCGCCCCA